This 230-nucleotide long non-coding RNA is filed under the name Lathyrus oleraceus (garden pea). RNAcentral describes it as "Pisum sativum (pea) long non-coding RNA (PSAT_LNC012941)". Lineage: Eukaryota; Viridiplantae; Streptophyta; Magnoliopsida; Fabales; Fabaceae. The record is from RNAcentral.
CUUUUUUGUUUAAAACUCAUUACAAGCCGAGAAGUGAAAAACAAUGUUAUCACCCUAUUCAAAGGGUUGAAAGAGUCUUGUUUGGAGUUGUGUGGGGUUGAAUAAUUAUGUUUGUAAUAUUUCAAAAGCCGAGAAGUGAAAAACAAUGUUAUCACCCUAUUCAAAGGGUUGAAAGAGUCUUGUUUGGAGUUGUGUGGGGUUGAAUAAUUAUGUUUGUAAUAUUUCAGAAG